UACGUAGGGACCGAGCGUUGUCCGGAUUCAUUGGGCGUAAAGCGCGUGUAGGCGGCUCGGUAAGUCUGCUGUGAAAGUCCAGGGCUCAACCCUGGGAUGCCGGUGGAUACUGUCGAGCUCGAGUCCGGAAGAGGCGAGUGGAAUUCCUGGUGUAGCGGUGAAAUGCGCAGAUAUCAGGAAGAACACCCGUGGCGAAAGCGGCUCUCUGGGACGGUACUGACGCUGAGACGCGAAAGCGUGGGGAGCGAACAGG
This 253-nucleotide ribosomal RNA is filed under the name uncultured bacterium. RNAcentral describes it as "partial 16S ribosomal RNA". It matches the Rfam family "Bacterial small subunit ribosomal RNA", at positions 524 to 776 of the family's 1533-position model. The record is from RNAcentral.